UACGAAGGGGGCUAGCGUUGCUCGGAAUCACUGGGCGUAAAGCGCACGUAGGCGGGUCUUUAAGUCAGGGGUGAAAUCCUGGAGCUCAACUCCAGAACUGCCUUUGAUACUGAGGAUCUUGAGUUCGGGGGAGGUGAGUGGAACUGCGAGUGUAGAGGUGAAAUUCGUAGAUAUUCGCAAGAACACCAGUGGCGAAGGCGGCUCACUGGCCCGAUACUGACGCUGAGGCACGAAAGCGUGGGGAGCAAACAGG
This 253-nucleotide ribosomal RNA is filed under the name uncultured bacterium. Its description in RNAcentral is "partial 16S ribosomal RNA". It matches the Rfam family "Bacterial small subunit ribosomal RNA", at positions 524 to 776 of the family's 1533-position model. The record is from RNAcentral.